UACGUAGGUGGCAAGCGAUACUCGGAAUCACUAGGCGUAAAGCGCAGGUAGGCGGUUUGGUAAGUCUUUUGUGAAAGCUCCUGGCUCAACUGGGAGAGGUCAAGGGAAACUACCGGACUAGAGUGUGGUAGGGGAUACUGGAAUUCCUGGUGUAGCGGUGAAAUGCGUAGAUAUCAGGAGGAAUACCUAUGGCGAAGGCAGCUCUCUGGUACAUGAUUGACGCUGAGACGCGAAAGCGUGGGGAGCGAACAGG
This 253-nucleotide ribosomal RNA is filed under the name uncultured bacterium. Its description in RNAcentral is "partial 16S ribosomal RNA". It matches the Rfam family "Bacterial small subunit ribosomal RNA", at positions 524 to 776 of the family's 1533-position model. The record is from RNAcentral.